CCUACGGGAGGCAGCAGUGGGGAAUAUUGCACAAUGGGGGAAACCCUGAUGCAGCGACGCCGCGUGAGUGAAGAAGUAAUUCGUUAUGUAAAGCUCUAUCAGCAGGGAAGAAAAUGACGGUACCUGAGUAAGAAGCCCCGGCUAACUACGUGCCAGCAGCCGCGGUAAUACGUAGGGGACAAGCGUUAUCCGGAUUUACUGGGUGUAAAGGGAGCGUAGGUGGCAGGGCAAGUCAGAUGUGAAAACCCGGGGCUCAACCCCGGGAGUGCAUUUGAAACUGUCCAGCUGGAGUGCAGGAGAGGUAAGCGGAAUUCCUAGUGUAGCGGUGAAAUGCAUAGAUAUUAGGAGGAACACCAGUGGCGAAGGCGGCUUACUGGACUGUAACUGACACUGAGGCUCGAAAGCGUGGGGAGCAAACAGGAUUAGAUACCCGUGUAGUC
This 440-nucleotide ribosomal RNA is filed under the name uncultured bacterium. RNAcentral's name for it is "partial 16S ribosomal RNA". It matches the Rfam family "Bacterial small subunit ribosomal RNA", at positions 338 to 795 of the family's 1533-position model. The record is from RNAcentral.